Molecule: long non-coding RNA, 1513 nt
Organism: Penaeus indicus
Lineage: Eukaryota; Metazoa; Arthropoda; Malacostraca; Decapoda; Penaeidae
Exons: 2
Source: RefSeq, a predicted model, not a curated record
GACUGUUAUUAGCUGUUUUUCCUGUGGCUUGGGAGUUGGUAACAGUGUGUUCUAGGUAAAAAUUUGGUUUUAUUUUUGUCUUCUGCAGGCUUUGUGGAAGUGAUUGCCACCUUUCUAAGUUUUUUGAGAUCACCCUCUUCUCCUGUCCACCAUAGUCAUUCGACCUUGAUCCCUGUGAUUUUUGGCCUUUCGUUAAGAUCAAGGCUGGGUUUGUUGGGAAGCGUUUUCUCCGCGUCCAAGACCUGGCACGAAUGGCGAAUUCAGAACUUACCAUACCUGGUUCUGAGUACCUGUCAUUGCUUCAUGGUGUGGCGAGAGAGGAUGGGAUGUUGGAUAGAGGCAGGAAGGGUGUGCUUUGAAGGAAUGAGGGAGGAACAGCUGAGAGAUUCACUGGAGAGUUUCAACACAGAGGACAUCGACAUGGAAAGAAAUAACACGGAAGAAUACCGACAUGUGGGAGUCUCACCACAUAACUACAACAGGGUGAGUGAGGGACAGAAGAAGCCACACAUGAGUGGUUCCUACGGGUUAUCACAGAAAUAUGAUUGUGCUAAAAAGCAAAGGGUCACUCGAGGCGAAGACAGCCCUGUGUAACUUUUCGUUAUCAGUUUUCUUGCAAACUCCUUACUGCAUUGUUAUUGUUCAUGCAAUGUAUUUUCAGUUUCCCGUUUCCAGAAUCCGUCAUAUUUCUGCCCUUCUUAAAACCGCAGUUUACAGCACUGUCUUAUUUUCACUGCAACACUAGCAAUGAGUAACCCAGCUUACACCAACACUGUUUCAGCCCGUCUACAGAUAUACUAGGCGAUAUGUAGCUAUCUAUCACAUGCAUAGGUAAGGUUUUACAGUUUUCUGGAGCACGUCCAUAUGUGGCCCAUUUCCUAAGAGCUGAAAAGUCUUGUUUUGUAAUAUUAGUGUCUUGUUUUACUGCACAGGUAACAUAGUGACCUAAAAUAUGAACACUGGAAAUCAUUAUGAGGAAAUGAUCGGAUAACAAGAAAUUCAUAAGAUAUUCUAAGAGGACAUUACCACUGAUAUUAUGUUUUUAUGUUCUACUGUAACUACCAUUUGAUUGUUAGGUGUGGUAUCUAAAAGGUGCACAGUAGCAGACAUUAGGCAUUAUUGCCGAGAAGUUGUACAAAAUGUGGUCCGUGGUAGGUACCUUACAUACUAUAUAAACCAUGUUUUUUUGUUUUUUUUCCUUUUUGUUCUUAUACGAAAUUGCAAAAUUUUACCAUUGGGCUAGGAUCCAUCCAUUACAUUCUUUUGAGUACCAGGAACUCAUAUACAGUGUGUGAAUAAAACUUCUCCAAAUGUAAGCAUGAAUUCUAGCCCUAAUUUUGAAUAAUAAGUAGUCUUAAAAGCACAAAUUACAGAGAGGUUACAGCACCGUGAUACACUACAGUGACAUUAAGAUUCUUUACAUGCCCCAAAGUCUUCUGUUUUAUGUGUGGGUCUUGUGUUCCUCUCUGCAAAAGGAUUUCAUUGUUGUAAAGAAAACUUUUUUUUUUUUUUU